GGCUCAGGACGAACGCUGGCGGCGUGCUUAACACAUGCAAGUCGAACGAUGAACCACUUCGGUGGGGAUUAGUGGCGAACGGGUGAGUAACACGUGGGCAAUCUGCCCUUCACUCUGGGACAAGCCCUGGAAACGGGGUCUAAUACCGGAUAACACUUCCACUCUCCUGAGUGGUGGUUAAAAGCUCCGGCGGUGAAGGAUGAGCCCGCGGCCUAUCAGCUUGUUGGUGAGGUAAUGGCUCACCAAGGCGACGACGGGUAGCCGGCCUGAGAGGGCGACCGGCCACACUGGGACUGAGACACGGCCCAGACUCCUACGGGAGGCAGCAGUGGGGAAUAUUGCACAAUGGGCGAAAGCCUGAUGCAGCGACGCCGCGUGAGGGAUGACGGCCUUCGGGUUG
This 400-nucleotide ribosomal RNA is filed under the name Streptomyces sp. RNAcentral's name for it is "bacterial SSU rRNA". It matches the Rfam family "Bacterial small subunit ribosomal RNA", at positions 21 to 425 of the family's 1533-position model. The record is from RNAcentral. Lineage: Bacteria; Bacillati; Actinomycetota; Actinomycetes; Kitasatosporales; Streptomycetaceae.